UACCUUGGAGAAGAAAAAGAAAAGUUAAAAUUUUAGAGAAAUGGAUGUUCUAUAUGAAUGGAAAGUUUUAGUUCAGAUUAAAGUAUUAUUAGAGCUUCCAUGAACUAUAGAACAUAUCCUAUCAAUCCAUGCCUUUGAAUACGCUGAUUGUCUAAGUGUUGAUAGCUUUAAUAAUAGGCCCUUUAAGGUAGGAGAGGUUUAUUGUUGCGCGGUUAUUUAACUUAACACAAAGUUGUGUUCAUCUUUCACACGUAUGGAACUUGAAAAGUGUCUUUUUUCUUUUGGGAGUGAGCUGUCUGCUAGCACGUGCUGUCUGUUAUUCUAACCUGGUGAGCCCCUGAGGUGUGAAGACCUAACCUGGGGCCACCUCUGCCUCCCAACUGGGGAGAGGAAUCUACCCAACUUCCUCUUCUGUCUGAGCCACGUGGCCCUUACAUUGAGCUCUACCUGCCAUCUUAGUCUUGGCCAUUAAUACAGGGGAUAUUUUGAUGCUCCAAAAAAUUAAAAAAACAAACACAAGAAAUCCUUGACACCCAAAUUUUUAAAAGGCCAUUUUUUUUUGAGUAGCACAGAAUUAGAACAUUCUCUUUUCCCAACAUUUUAUGAUGAAGAAUAUUCAAACAUAGAGUAAAUCUGAAAGAAUUUCAUAGACUUACGACUUUGAUUCUCUCAUUAACACGCACUUUACUCAUUUUCUCACACUAUCCAUCCUAUUUUUUUUUUGACACGUUUUAAAGUCAAAAAUGGGUAUCAGUCCACUUCCCUCAGAUUUUGUAAUUGUAAAAUUAACACACAGUGAAACGCACUUGUGUUAAGUGUGGACUUACUGAGUUUGGAUAGCAGUGGUACCUGUGACACCUAACAAGAUAUAUAAAGUAUUCUGAAAUACCUAGAGUUAAGGUAAGUUCAGACUCUUGUGCUUGGUGUCCUACCGAUGGGGGUGGAAAAUGCGGAGGAAGGGUCGGGGGGGCUGUGGAGGGGACUAGUCUCUGUAUUCAGAAAGUCUCUGGUUUCAACAAACGUUCCAAAUAGAAAGGGAAAGAACUGACACGGUGUCUGACACGGUGUUGGCAGAACCCCUGCAGGAGACAGUGAUAUGGCCUGCUGUGUCUGCUGGCAUAUGCAGAAAAGUGGGCAGGAGUUAGUAGUGGAUGAAGGGAGAGAACAUAGGCAGGAAAAGGAUCACAUUCAGUAAGUUCUAGCUGCUAACUCAAAAUCAGCAGGUAAAGGCCACCUUAACAAGGCCCUUCAUAGCUAGUUUUACCUGCCUCGAUCAGAAAGGAACUGAGACAGAAGAAAAGUAUACAUAUAUUUUCAUAGUGCAUUUAAUAUAUUAAUAAUCCACCCCCAACACUCAGCAUCUUAUGACCUUGCUGUGAGGAAAGUGGGAUCAAGACAAUUAGGUGAAUUUUGCUUUGCAGCUCACAGCUACGCAAGUUGUACACUGCACAACUAACUUCAGAGAGCUCCAUUCAUACCAACCUCGGUGACUGAGUGAUAUGGAGCUCUUAGGAGGGUUGUCCAAGUCACACAAUUAUUACUCAGAGAAUGAGCUGGGACCUGGCUUUGGAUGCACACACCAGUGUUUUUUGUUUUGUUUUGUUUUGUUUUGUUUUUUCAAAUCCUAGUAUUUGUAUGAGAAUUCUUUACAUUUGAACCAAACUUUCCGGCUUAGUCAUAGAACAUUUUGCCUGGCUCUCAACAGCCCUCUGAGGCAAGUGAGGGAAGUGGACCACCAUUACAGAUGUGAUAUUGGACUUAACCCUCAUACAAAAUUGGAAACACCUGGUGUAUGCCGCACGCCAUCAAUGGCCAUUUGGGCCUUGCUGCCAUGACAGUGGAGCCUAUCUACCAUUUUCGUACAAGCAAAUGGUAGACAGGAAACCCACAGGCUGAGAGUAAACACAUGUGUGAUAUCAGCCACUUUAUGUGACUCUAGAGAAGAACUUUCGCUGCCCCCACAAUCCCAGGCUACAAUUCUCUUCCUGUAGGUUCCCAUCCAAAUCUCCGGCUCUGGCAGGAAUCUGAUGAGUGAUUCUGUGCAACUUCAGCUCAGCUGAGGACACUCACGGAAGUUGGGUUUGUGACAAAACCCAGCUGCUGCCUCCACUGGAAAUGAAUCUGGCAGCAGUGCUCCUGAACAGCAGCGGUAAUCUCUACACCCAACGUGGGCCUUGAACUCGGGACCAACAACAGUGGCGUACUCUACUGACUCAGCCAGCCAGGUACCCCUUUAGAGGUCAUUGUAAUCCCUGAAGGUAAAUGGGAGUUUUCUGGGCAGCCAGAAGAGCAGAAAGGACCUAAUAAGGAAUGAAGACUUUAUUCUGGAAGUAGCAGGGAGUCAGUGAGAGAAUUCGAACAAGAAAACAUGAUCGGACUUGUGUUUUGGCAAAAGCACCGAGAGAAGAGUAGAUUGGAGAGUAAGGGGACUUGUUAAGACCAGCUAUUGUCAAAGGAAGUAGUUUAAACCACAACAACUUAAAACACAGAGCAUUCUUGAAUAGCAUCUUCUAAAACCUGGGACUUUUCUUAAAACAUCACAAAAGCAAAAACAGUCCCAUUUUAGAAUGUAUAAAGUAGGGGAGCCUCUUUUUAAAAAUUUCCUCAAAAUGCUGUAUUUUUUUUUAUUGCUUUAUAUAAAAUCAGUAUUUUUCUCUUUAAGUAGUUCUUUGUGGUUUCUUUGUCAAGCACUAGGAAAUGAAUAAAAUCAGCCCACUGAGAAGGAUUUAGAAAGCAGAUGUGAGUAAUAGUUACCAAUUCUUCUUCUUCUUAAUUUUCUGGUAAGACACACAGCAAAGCACCUGGCUAAAUAACUUGACUUCCUUGCUGUUUUGGUGGGAAAAUGAUGGAAGUUGAGGGUCCCUGUGUUGUGUUGUGGAAAGAUUCAGAUUCUCCUCCUGAUCUAGGUCUAGGGCUUGACUACAAUCCAAGGCAUAAACUGAAAUCUGUUUUAGUAGUUGCUUCUUUAUACUGAGCCACUGUUGGUGAGUUGAACUGAAAAGGUGCUGAGGACUAAAUUCCCUGUUUUUUUUUCAGCUGGAUAUUUAAAAAAUUUUUUUUUAAUUAAUUAAUUAAGAGAAAAAGAGAGAGACUGAGACAUAGAGAGCAGGAGCGGGCAGAGGCAAAGGAAGAAAGAGACUCCAACUGAGUGGGGAUACCAACAUGGACAUGACCCUGGGAUCUGACGGUGCCAAAGGCAGACAUUUAACAGACUGAGCCGCACAGGUGCCCCUAAGCCGGAUAUUUUGAUAGCCAACCUCAGCACAGGACGUUCAGAAAGAAAAACACAUCUGCCUAACCAAAUCAGUGCUAAGACUUAGACAUGACACGUCCAUCCCACCUGCUUGCUUUGUGUGGAAGCUACAGUCUUUCCAUCUGAGGCCAGCCAGAGAAGAUGGGAAAUACAGCAAGAGGGAAAGAAGACAAAUCACGAAUGGCCAACAUGGGAAAGGACAUUAAGCCUCCCCUUCAAUUUCACCUUUCCACGGGGAAAAAAGUCUAGAAGCAAGUCCUAGAGUUGGUGAGAGAGUGAAAUACUCUGAUCUCUUAAACAUUACUGGCAAGGUUAUAAUCAGUUUGGAAAACAGUUGGGCAUGAUCUGAUGGAACUGAAGAUGCUCAAACCCUAUGAACUCAUCAGUCCCACUUCUAGGGAUGAUUCUUAGACAAACUCUUGGACAUGGGUACGAGGAAGGCAAGAAUGUUCACAAAAGCAAUAUUUGUGGUAGCAAAACACUGGCAACAACCCACAUGUCCAGCAGCGGUGGAAUGGCUGAGGGACAGAAUCAAGCAGUGGAAUACUAUAUGGCAACAAAAAAGGAAACAGCACAACUGAACCCAUCAGCAUGGAUGAAAUCUCAACAUUGCUCAGAGGCAAAAGCAUGUUAUUACAAAAUCCAUACAGAAUAAUUCCUUUUAUAGAAAAUUAAACAUGAGAAGUAAAAUAUUUAUAUAAAUGUAUAUCUGUAAAACUAUUACUUAAGGAAAUAAAAAAAAGGAUGAUAAAAACAAAAUCCAGUUCAGUGGUUCGCCUCCAGGGGCAAUGAGAGAAAGGGGUGAGUACAAAGGGGUUCAUUUAUCAUUGUUUGUUUUAUCUCAUACAAGUACUAUACAUACUUUUUGGUUAUUCAAUUUUUAACUAAAAAAAAGAGAGAGAGAGAGAAACCUCUUAUAGUUGCUAACAAAAUUUUAAAAAAUGAAUCUUAAAAAAAUAUAACAUGUUCUCUGUCAUGCUCUUUUCUUCUAACACAGAACUGAUGAGAUGGGCCAUGUGUCUAAAACAGUAAGUGGGGAGGAUACAGAGAAGCAAUUAAAGGGAAACAAAAGCAAAAAUGGGAAGUCCCCCCCUGGCAAGCAGCUCUAGGAAGACAGGGCUAGUGCCAGAAUCUAAACCUUGGGACUCUGAUUGCUGCAUAAGAAAAUAAAUAUUAGGAACAAAAAUAAACACCCACAUCUCCAUGCUGGACAGCAGAAGAGCAGAAAGUUCGGCAAACAACUGGGGUUUCUGUUUUGCUGCAUAGUUUUUUACUCUCUAACUCUCAACUCCUAUAUUCCUCUUCUUCCCUGUUUCCAUAUGUUAUUAGAAGCUCAGUGUAAAUGGAAAAAAAAAAAAAAAAGACAAAAACAAAAAAAGCUGGAUGCUUCAUUUGUUGUCAACAGGGAUGUUUCAGAUGACUGUUCAACCAGAAGGGACUUGAUGUUUUAGAAACAUCUCAUUACUCAAUGUAGCCACUUUUCUUUACUAUUAUUAGACCACCAUGUAGCAAAAUGUGGAACAUGUCCCCUUGUUCUCUGUUUCCUCCGCCUCUCACCAAGACAGUUUUUUUGUUAUGAAGUUACAACUGGAAACAAUUGCUGUAGUUCUAGGCCUUUCUGAUAAAUAAUAUUUAGUUGAGGCCUAACCUAAAAACAUAGUAUCUAUUAAGGAUCCUGUUAGACAGGAGGAGUACAUCUUAAACUAUGGAAACAGAUGAAUGCUAAGAGAGGCAGCAGCAAUAAAUAUUUCUUCCAUGCUUACUAGGUGCCGCGUAGAAUGUCAAGUAAUACACGGAUACCCAUAAUCUCAAUGAAUCCUAAUAACUAAUCCCUUCAUGAGAGAGAGAGGUAUUAAUGUUAUCCCCACUUCACGGAUGAAGAACCUCUUGGAGAAGCCAAGUGACUUCCCCAAGGUCACACAGCUAGCCAGUACUGGAGCAGUGUCUGGCACAGUAUCCGGUCUUUUAAUCUCAACACUCCGUUGCUUGAGGAUGGUGAGAGGAGGAGCUAGAAUUGCCAAGGUAAUAAGACUAGAGAGAAAAUUCAAGUCUACUUGAUAGCUAAAUUUGUAACUUUUCAAUCUGGGGUCCCCAAAGGCUAAAGGCGGUCUAUGGUUUGGGUUGGGGAGGAUCUAGAAAUUAUUUUCAAUAAUUCAAAUUGUCUAAUGCACAGGCUCUUGGUCUUUUUGGUGCUAUGGACCCCUACGGUGUCUUCUGUAACCCAUGGAUACUUCUCAGAAAAAUGUUUUAAAAUACAUUUUAUAUAUUUAUAUAUACAUAUUACAGAUUAUAAAUGAACCCAUUAUAUUGAAAUUAACAAAGUCAUAAAAAAUAAAGUUGGAUAUAAAAAUAUAUGUACUUUUCUAUAAACACAUUCAAUAAGAACAACCAGUGGGUUUGAGAACUACUGUAAUUUCAAAGUAACAGUGAUGGUGAUGCUGUUUCAAGGUAUUUGCAACGGCAUUUGUAUUUGAUAUCAAAGUAUCUCUGCUUUCUAUUGGUGACAGAGUCAAAGAUACCGCUAAGGCAGCUGUGGUUUGUGGCCUACAUUCAUAAUGGGAGGAAAUGCUAAAUUUAAAAAUUCAUAACAGAAGGAAAAGCUAUUUAAGUUUGAGGUUAGUGAAAAUAAAAUGCAUUUUCCCCCCAAGUUCACUGACCCCCUGAAUACUAUCCACAGACCCUUGCCCUAGGUUAAGAACCCUUUUUUAAGAACCCAAUAAUCACCUAAUGAAAAUACUAAGGUUACUCCUCAGUAAAACAGCUGCAUUUUUUUUUUGCCGACAUGAUAUUAAUUAUAUCAAUCUAUCAUAAUAUUUGAUCAUUAAUUGAUAUCCAGAAACAAAUUCAAGAUGGCUUGUGGACACCGUCUUCGCUGAGAAUGGAUCUGGAUGAUGUUUAUAGCAGACCUUCCUGGAUCUAGCUGUAUCACUUCCGAAAAGUAGCAUAAGACAUGCUACUAUCUAAAGACUUUGCCCGGGAGGACCACAUUAUUUCAGUACAGCACAGAAGUCAGCUGGGAAAAGGAAGCUAAUCUUUUGAGUAAAUAACAAGCGUUUUUCUAGGAGUCUGCAUUACCAAUGGUCUAUCAGUGUUUCAAGAGAACAAAGACCACUUGUAAACCAACAAUGCACAGCAGAGACUGAGGUCUAAGAUUUAGCUUAAGGUUUUGGCUGAGGAUUUUACAGAAUAAGAGCCCCACCAGUAGAUACUAUUGACUAGAGGACACUUUUCUAAAAGUGAUGUUUCAGAUCAAUGGCUGGUUUGUUAAGAGUGAAACUAUGUUCUCAAGUUUCUGGUUGGCCUGGGAGGAAGUAAAAUAGGUCAGGAUUUAGAGCAGCCUUUAGGGAUCAGAAUGAAAGUUUAUCCAAACAUAAGCCACAUGGGGUUCCUAGAAGCCAAAGCCAUUCUGGCAUCAACAAAGGGGCAAAAGAAAUCAUAAUUUUGGGUUCCUCCAAAUAGGAUGCAUAUUAGAAUUUCCUAACAAGCUUAUAUCCUAAUGCUCAGGUCCUAUCUCAGACAAAUAAAGUAAGAAUAUUUGGAGAUAGAUACACUGUUUUAGGAAAAUGUAGCAAGUUUAACAAUGGUACCAAAUUCUUUGCCAUUCUUCCCAUUAAGAGGAAUGUGAACUUCCUCUGUGAUUGGCUUUGACCAAAAGAAUGCAAUGGAAAUAAUAUUCUGGGACUUUUGAACCUGGGUCUUAAAAGGACUGACAUCUUUUGCUUCUCAAUUUGGGAGACCAGCUGCCAUGCUUCAUAGCCCAGACCAAGACACCGAAUGGUUUGCAGCCAUAUGGAGAGAGCACUGGAGAAGAGAAGGCCACCUCGGAUGUCCUAGCUUUUGCCAUAUUCCCCACGGAAUGCAGCUGCAUGGAUGGCCUUCAUGUAGCUCAUGUGAGUCAGAACAAUCACUGAGUUAAGCCCAUUCCACCCACAUAUGAUGAGAAAUAAUAAACUGUUGUUGUGUCAA
Mustela lutreola (European mink) is the source of this 7219-nucleotide long non-coding RNA. RefSeq lists it as uncharacterized. The record is from RefSeq and is a predicted model, not a curated record. The transcript has 2 exons. NCBI's taxonomy places the organism in Eukaryota, Metazoa, Chordata, Mammalia, Carnivora, Mustelidae.